Molecule: ribosomal RNA, 374 nt
Filed under: uncultured bacterium
Lineage: Bacteria
Description: bacterial SSU rRNA
Rfam family: Bacterial small subunit ribosomal RNA
Source: RNAcentral
GACGUAGGAGGCGAGCGUUAUCCGGAUUUAUUGGGCGUAAAGGGCAAGUAGGCGGUUGUCAAAGUUGGGCGUGACAGACCCUGGCUUAACUAGGGGAGGUCGUUCAAAACUAGGCAACUAGAGGGCAGAAGAGGGAAGCAGAACUCCUGAUGUAGCGGUGGAAUGCUCAAAUAUCAGGAAGAAUACCAGUGGCGAAGGCGGCUUUCUGGUCUGCACCUGACGCUGAGAGGCGAAGGCCAGGGGAGCGAACGGGCUUAGAUACCCCGGUAGUCCUGGCAGUAAACGGUGGAUACUAGGUAUCAGGGGUCAAGGCCUUUGGUGCCGAAGCGAACGCGUUAAGUAUCCCGCCUGGGGACUACGGCCGCAAGGUUAAA